Long non-coding RNA from Peromyscus californicus insignis, 3116 nucleotides. RefSeq lists it as uncharacterized. The transcript is spliced from 3 exons. NCBI's taxonomy places the organism in Eukaryota, Metazoa, Chordata, Mammalia, Rodentia, Cricetidae. The record is from RefSeq and is a predicted model, not a curated record.
UUCCAACUUUUCUCUUUCCCCACCUUUGGGAAUCCUAUUACCCCUUCCUUUGGUAGGAUCCUAGAAACAAGAGGACUAGGAAGCUUCUUAAAUAUUCUGCUCACAGACCCUCUGGGACACAGAAGCAGGGUGGAGAAUGCCUAAGAGCUGCCCUUUCAUACCUCUGGCAUAAUACUCCUUGACAGUGCAACAUUCUGAGGGGAGUGAGGCUUUCUUGCUAGCUAUCAACUCUCAAAGAAGAAGAAAUAGUCACCCUGACUCUUUCUUAGCAUAAUCAAGAGGAUGCAGAGGCAAGCUCACAAGAUAUGAGGAGUAAUAGCUGACAGGCAUGUCAACACUGGAUACUACAGGAAAAUUGCUGUGACUGCAGAGGUCUAGUGGCUGUGUGCGGUGUUGCUGAUAGAAUUUAAAGUGCAACUUUAUGGGAACUAAAGCUAAGAAAUCAAAAAUCUUUUUUCAAAGACCACCGCAUCACUCCGCCCUCAUCAGAGAAGUUUCUGUUUGCAUAGACAACUCACAACAAGACAAUGUGAAGAAAGUGAGGGAGUCUGAGCACUCAGUCCUAAAUGGGAUGUCUUCAUCAAAGCUCUCCCCCCAAGGCUCAGAGUCUAUGUGGAAGAGGAAGCAGAAAAACAGCCGGACGAGAUGGAUGACUCCAAGGCAACUGUCUUCCAGGCACAACAGGACUGAUGCACAUCUGAGCUCGCAGAGUCUGUGGCUGCACACAUGAAGCCUGUACAGGUUCAAGCCAGAUGAGGUCCAAGCACAGAGGAAGUAAAUGCAGGCUCCCACCCAUAAGAAGCUCUCUGCAAUUGACACCCUAAUGGCAAAGGCAAAAUCGGUUUUCUUCAAUGGAGUCUCACUGGGAAUAUACAUCACACUUCAGGUUAGAUGCCAUGCUCAGGAGUAUCUGACCAACACAAAAUGACCUAAAUGAUAUUUUACAUUUUUUGUCUUAUUUUGCUUUGUUUGGUCAUUUUUGUCUUCUAGGUUUUUUGCUUGUUUGAGUUUUUGUGUGUGUGUGUGUUUCUGUAGGGAGUUCUUGUGUGUGUGCAUACUUCUUAGUUUUGUUGUUUUGUUUUUGUCUUUUUCUGUCUGUUUGUUGAGGUGGGGAGAACAUGAAGUUGGAUAGGUAGGUGGGGAGGAUGCAGGAAGAAUUGGGGGACGGGAAAACAUGAUCAAAAUCUAUUAUAUGAAUUUUUUCAAUUAAAGAAAAGCUUUAAAAAAGAUGGGCAAGGGUCCUGUGAGUAUUAGAACUUUCUGAGCUUUUAGAUUAUGUUUCAUUACUUUCAUGAGUUGUAUGCUUCUCCCUCUAUCACCCUGGAGUGAAUGUUUCAGCUCCUAAGAUAUCUAUACAACAGCCAACUGACAACAGUUUCUUAAUAACUGACUUUUAAAAAUUUCUACUUGAUGCUUUGAUGCACAGAAACAUGACAUCAGUUAUUGUAAAUCUAGCUUACUAGAAAAGUAAGGUUUUACUUUGAUAUUUUUCUAUUAAACUUUUAAAUUUUUGAUUUUAAAAAGUUUUCCAUUGCACAUAUUAAUUGUAUGUGGUCUUAUGGCACAUAAGGACACUCACAUAAGUAUAUACUGUGUAUUUAUCUUUUUGGAUGCAUUGACUAUCAUACAUAAAUGUGGACCAUCUUUCACAUAUGUUUGAUGAUAUUUAUAUGUAUGUAUAUAAAUUUUGCACUGUGACUUAUUUAGUGGAACAACUUGUUGCAUUUCAUAGUUUGUGUCUUUUAAUUUCCUGGUUUACUCUUGUGUAAAUACCUUCAAUUAUUUUGUUCAUAAUGAGAGCAGUUAGUUGGCAGAUACUAAUACUGAAGAUGUCAAUGGCAGCAGAUAAAGAGAUGGAGCUCAAGAGAACUUCUACAUGAUUUUGUACUAAUAAGAAGCUCUCAGGAUACUUCAAUCACUAGACAAAAGGACAUGUUACAAAUGCAAGUACAGUUCACUUCCAGUUCUAAUAAUACGAGCACACAGAUUCUUACUGACUCCUCACAGACAACAUGUUCAGCUUCACAUAUACUCACCCUGAGAACUAAAUGAUGCAUAUCCUACAAAAACGCAGCAGAGAUUUAUAAAGACACUAAAGAAAAGCAUGUGUGAAGGUAACUGCAAAAGCAGAGGCAACAACACAAUCAUUAUUGAAAGAACUCAUGCACCUUGCAGGCUUCAACUUCUAUCUUAUCUUUUCAUUGCACCUUGGGUAUUGCAUGUGUGUCCAAUUAAGUACUCUCACGAAAGAUCAGAUUUUCAGCCCAGUAUGCCCGAUGAAUGGCUGUCUACUUAUGCCCUCCGAGCAGUCUUGAAAUAAUCGCACACUGGCUAGAAUGAAGACCAUAUCUAAAAUUGCUCUUGACAACCAAGCAUAGUUAACCCAAUUAGCUACUCUGUUUCUAAGAGCACACAUGGUUCAAAAUACAGCUUGAAACCACAGUAUGCAAAUUCUAUUAAGGGAAACAAAAAGUCCGCUGCCAAGCAUGAUCUGAGAAAGUGACAUGUGGCGUCAAAUAUCUCUGUACAAAUGUUAAGAUUCAGCCCCACAGCUUCCAUUACCAUGAGUGAGAAGAGGUGGGUGGGGUGUGUGCGCAAUUUCUAACAAGAUCAGGAAGAACUUCCCUUGGUUUGAAAUCUGUUUCAUUUAUUCUUGUUCAUGAUAAUUUAGAGGAAGUUGGAAUCUAAUUGGGCAAAGGAAUAAUAAACAGCUUUCUCCUUUAGGGCUUGGAUACUAUCACUUUAUGAAUAGAAAUGUAUUCCUGUGUACAGAUUUGUAAGACUGUGUUUAUUCACUAUUGCACAAAAUCUGUCUAGGAUGUAGGUCAAUAAAUAUGUGUAAAAACACUGAGCUUGACAGAUUUUAUGCAAAUCUGGAGAGAAACAUUGGAUGUCUUAUUCUACCAAAAAUAAAUUAAACAACUGUUUGUAUGCCCAAAACAUUUAUGUCAUUAAUACUUACAAAAUAAAUAUUUUCAAAUAGAAUGCAUGUAAAAUUAAAUAACACUGAGACAAAAGCAUUAAGUGGUGUUUCUUGGCUUAGUUUCCAUGCAGCCAGUAUUUAAAAUACAACUAUAUAUGAACUUUGAAAACAUAUGGCUAAACCAAUAAAAUAU